UCCCUGUGUCUACGUCGGUUUCCUCUGAGUGCUCUGGUUUCCUUCCACAUUUAAAGACAUGCAGGUUAGGUGAUUUGGAAGCUUCAUAAUUGUCCAAGUCUGCCUUGCAAAAGAGCUCUCAAUCUCAAUGGGACUAACUUGGUUAAAUAUAGCUACGAAAAGAGCAGCAGA
Long non-coding RNA from Thalassophryne amazonica, 171 nucleotides. RefSeq lists it as uncharacterized. NCBI's taxonomy places the organism in Eukaryota, Metazoa, Chordata, Actinopteri, Batrachoidiformes, Batrachoididae. The transcript has 3 exons. The record is from RefSeq and is a predicted model, not a curated record.